CCUACGGGAGGCAGCAGUGAGGAAUAUUGGUCAAUGGACGCAAGUCUGAACCAGCCAUGCAGCGUGCAGGAAGACGGCUCUAUGGGUUGUAAACUGCUUUUGUACAAGGAUAAAGCUGAGCACGUGUGUCCAGCUGAAAGUACUGUACGAAUAAGGAUCGGCUAACUCCGUGCCAGCAGCCGCGGUAAUACGGAGGAUCCAAGCGUUAUCCGGAUUUAUUGGGUUUAAAGGGUGCGUAGAUGGGUUGUUAAGUUAGUGGUGAAAUGUUCGAGCUUAACUGGGAAAUUGCCAUUAAUACUGUUGGUCUUGAGAAUAGAUGCGGUAGGCGGAAUGUAUGGUGUAGCGGUGAAAUGCUUAGAGAUCAUAAAGAACACCGAUUGCGAAGGCAGCUUACUAAUCUAUCUCUGACGUUGAGGCACGAAAGCGUGGGUAGCAAACAGGAUUAGAUACCCCUGUAGUC
RNAcentral lists this ribosomal RNA (460 nucleotides) under uncultured bacterium. Its description in RNAcentral is "partial 16S ribosomal RNA". It matches the Rfam family "Bacterial small subunit ribosomal RNA", at positions 338 to 795 of the family's 1533-position model. The record is from RNAcentral.